Molecule: unclassified non-coding RNA, 164 nt
Filed under: uncultured Pleosporales
Lineage: Eukaryota; Fungi; Ascomycota; Dothideomycetes; Pleosporales
Description: sequence contains ITS1
Source: RNAcentral
CUGCUUGCUUACGGUCUCGUUUCGGGCAACCGAGCGGGAUCGGGCACGCUACCCUUGCUUAUGUAUACCUAUUGUUAUUCCCUCGGUGGGGCAACCUGCCGCCGGGAUCUUACAAACACCCUUGUAUUAUAGCAUCAAAAUUUCUGAAAACAAACAAAUAAUUA